This 330-nucleotide long non-coding RNA is filed under the name Fukomys damarensis (Damara mole-rat). RNAcentral describes it as "lncRNA (ENSFDAG00000022771.1)". The record is from RNAcentral. Lineage: Eukaryota; Metazoa; Chordata; Mammalia; Rodentia; Bathyergidae.
UGUUUUCAGUGAUUUGGAAACGGUAAAGUGACCCUUAAGUAAAAAUCUUUUAAUUAAAGCAAACAAAGGAUCAGCUUUACCGGAAAGCAGUCAGUCAGCAAGUUCUCGUUCUUGACAUCCAGAGGACGCUUGUGCAGAGAGCUGAAGAGAGAAGCCAGGGCCGAUAUUGGAAGAUGGUCGCCCCCAGCACCCGUGGCCUCCGCCUUCACUUGGACUCUUUCAUUGAUGCUUGUUUGUACAAAAAUGAGUUGUCUUGGACCUCUGACCUCACUUGAAGAUGCCUUUCUUUUGGAUCUGCCCUAUAUAUUGACCCACAAGUUCAAGACCUGA